GAAGUAAGCCGUUCUAUCGCUCUUGAAUUGUCAGGAGAGGAAAGUCCCGACAACGCAAUGCAUCAUUCUUCCUAACAGGAAGUUAUCCGUGAGGAUAAGUAGUGGUAACAGAAAAUAACCACCGUAUCUUUAUGGUACGGAAAGGGUGAAAAGGUGGGGUAAGAGCCCACCGGUUUUGGCAGCGAUGUCAAAAGCCGUACCACCAAUGAGUUGCAAGUUCGCAUAAACCUGCAUUUGAGGGUUGCAUGUCCAAGCAGGAGGGUAGGACGCUGGAAACAUUAAGUGAUUAAUGUUGUAGAGAAAUGAUAGAAUUCCAUUAUGGAAACAGAAUCGGGCUUACAGGCUUACUUCCUUU
This 355-nucleotide RNase P RNA is filed under the name Bacteroidales bacterium. RNAcentral's name for it is "RNase P RNA component class A". It matches the Rfam family "Bacterial RNase P class A". From Rfam's summary of the family: Ribonuclease P (RNase P) is a ubiquitous endoribonuclease, found in archaea, bacteria and eukarya as well as chloroplasts and mitochondria. Its best characterised activity is the generation of mature 5'-ends of tRNAs by cleaving the 5'-leader elements of precursor-tRNAs. The record is from RNAcentral. Lineage: Bacteria; Pseudomonadati; Bacteroidota; Bacteroidia; Bacteroidales.